Pezoporus occidentalis (night parrot) is the source of this 530-nucleotide long non-coding RNA. RefSeq lists it as uncharacterized. The record is from RefSeq and is a predicted model, not a curated record. Lineage: Eukaryota; Metazoa; Chordata; Aves; Psittaciformes; Psittacidae. The transcript is spliced from 6 exons.
CUGCUUCAAGAUUCACUGGAGGUUGGUAUCAUGGGCCAUGUUCCUUCUGAUUUCAUACCUGCAAGCAGUUUACAGAGGAGCCCUGCUCCUACCACACUUUCCCAGGCAAGAGCUGAGAGGACUACAAGUCGAAACUUCAUUUCAGGACAAAAAUUACUGUGAUGCCUGCAUGAUGCUGUAUCAUUUCUUCAUGCCACUGUAUCUCAGCACUUAGAAGGUUUAAAUCUGCAUCUCUUGAGGGGUAUUAAGAAGCCUUUAUCCUGAAAUGCAAAAAAGGCACCCUACUGAAAUUCAAGCAAUGCUGGGCGUACCGAGCAGAGGUCUGGCUUUUCGUUAAUGGAAGAGGAAAACUACUUUUACAACUGGAACAGAAACGUCAGCACCUCAAAUUCCAGCCCAAAUUGCCAAGUGAUUGCAGAAAAUGCCUGUGGACUACUCUUCAAGAGCGAAAGUCAUAGGAAAAUAGUAAAUGUGGAUUCCAAGCUAAAUCCAGGGAACAACACAACAUGGAUGCCUGUUGGAACAGAUCU